AAAUUGAAGAGUUUGAUCAUGGCUCAGAUUGAACGCUGGCGGCAGGCCUAACACAUGCAAGUCGAACGGUAACAGAAAGCAGCUUGCUGCUUUGCUGACGAGUGGCGGACGGGUGAGUAAUGUCUGGGAAACUGCCUGAUGGAGGGGGAUAACUACUGGAAACGGUAGCUAAUACCGCAUAACGUCGCAAGACCAAAGAGGGGGACCUUCGGGCCUCUUGCCAUCGGAUGUGCCCAGAUGGGAUUAGCUU
RNAcentral lists this ribosomal RNA (250 nucleotides) under Escherichia coli. Its description in RNAcentral is "partial 16S ribosomal RNA". It matches the Rfam family "Bacterial small subunit ribosomal RNA", at positions 1 to 247 of the family's 1533-position model. The record is from RNAcentral. Lineage: Bacteria; Pseudomonadati; Pseudomonadota; Gammaproteobacteria; Enterobacterales; Enterobacteriaceae.